UGGUCGGCCGUGGAGGUUGGGUGUGUAGGAGAUGAGGCUGGAAUCGCUGGGUGUGUGAUGCUCGCUUGCCAAUGCAUCCCCUCCUUAGGCUGCGAGGAGUUCGGUGCCGACAGCAUUAGGUUCCAUCAAGGGGACUGGUGUUGGGCACCUGGGGCUGUGUCCCCUGGGCUGGGGAGAGCAAUGAGCCUGGAAAUCCUCCUGGUGAUACCAUGGCAAGUGCCUGCUCCCUGCCUCUGGCUUGCUGGCACCGCACCCUUGGUCAGGAUUUGAAAAAAACAUUUGUUGUUGUAUGCUGUACGUCGUGAAAUAAUAGUCUGUUGGCUCCGUUGUAACAUCUGUGAGCUGGUUUUUGCUGUAUGAGUUCUUCCUUCUCUUUGCAUAGCGAUGGUUUGAAGUUUGAAUUAAUGCUUUAGGGUGUCUUUACUGGAGGGUGUUGUUUGCCUGACUGGAGACAGAUUGCAAUGACACUUGGUAAUAAUUUUGUGAGGGGUACUUUUUAACCUUGGCUUUUGAGCCAUUGUUCUCAUUGGUUUCAUUGUGGAGGAUCAACUUCUUUUCCCCAGGAGUGUAAAGCGCAUUGGGGUACGUUUUGUAGGGGGGGAACUGGCCCUACAGCCACCGAGGCCAGUGUUUCUGCACACAUAGCACAUCAGACACGGCGUGUGCGUUUCAUCUCUUUUUCAGUCAGUUUAGUUGAAUGUUAAAAUGGGUCAAAUAAUGCAAUACGUUGAAUAAUGUUGUGGUGUAACUUAACUAGAGUUGUAUGCAUGCAGUGAUUUUCCUCGUGGUAUUUUAGGACAACGUGCACUGUGGUUUUAGCACUAGUAACGCUUACUUACGGUUAAAAUACAGUGUUUGGAUGUAUGAAAAUUAAUAUAUGCUCUGUAUAUGAAUUUUAAUAAUAAAUUUUUAGCUUCUUUUCACUGUAGCUCAAGUUUUUACUUUCCCCAGGGUGACUAGCACCCACUGAUUUGUUUUGAGCUUCCAUCAAACAUAAGCAUGUACUGCCUAACAUCAUGGGGUAAAAGCUGUUCGCUUGUGUGUAUUUGAGCUCUAGAAUGAUUAAGCAGGCUUUUUCCCUGCUUGUUAGUGUGGACUGACUUUGAAAAAGCCCUGCUAUAGAUUGUAAUUCUCUGAUCAGUUGGAAUUUGUGACUCACUGCCGUUAAGAUUUUACGGUCGGCUAAUGCCUCGUUUUUUUGUUUUUGUUUUGUUUGUUUUGGUUUUGUCCUCAGCUGUUUUGGUAAGUUAACUUAUGUCUCGGAUAUUUUCUGUAUCCUGGGAAGUGCCACAGAAUAAUUUGCUGGUGUUCCUCCCUGACGUUCAGGUUGAAUAAAGGCAAGCUUGGGCCAGAGAAAGAAUCCAGACCUGAGUUUAUGUAUAUGAAGAGGGAGUUUCCCAUGUCCUUGAGGAAGAGUUUACAUGUUGGCAAAGAAAAGAAACAGCUCACAAUAAAGUAAAUCUUCAUUCAGCCUGAACAAAACAGUGCUAAAGUAAUAGUUCGUACAUGAUGCAAACUCCAGAGUCACCAGGAAUUGGUUUGGAUGUUCCAGAUGUGUGCUGGAAGGCUUUAGGAUCUAGUCAGGCUUGUGAUUUGUUCAAAUGUUGUUUUCUCUGACAUAGUUUGGUUUGACUAAAUGUAGCUUAGUUUUAGUUAACUAACAGCGCAUGAGCGCAUGACUUGUUUCUGGUUUCAUUGACUUCUGUCUUCAUCUUUUUAAACUGGAUGUAGUUAACAUGGGAAGAGUAGAAGGGGCUUCUGGUAUGAUUUUGGAAGCUGCUUGGGUUCAGGCAAGUGUACUACCUAUCUGAUUUAACUUUUGUGUCAGUGUCCUCUUUUGGUAGUCUUUUCAAACAUAAUCUACCCAUUUUGUAAUUAUAUCUGCAGUAAAGACUUUGAAACAGGUUAAGAAUUAAUUUUCAUUUAUUAUAUUUCUAAAAGGCUUAUGUGGAAUGAGCUCUUUCCAUGACUGAAGCCUCUUCAAUGUGGGAAUUGAACAUGCAAUGUAACAGCAAAAAACUUCCCUUUCUUUUUUGUUAGUAUAUUCAGAUAUGGAGGAGAAAAAUGAGUUGUAUAGAGGCUUUUUUACACCCCAAUCCCAAGGUGAGCUCAAAAAAUGAAUGGUGCUAAGGCUUGAUAAACAUGUUGUUUUCAAAGAGUAAUGUAUCUGUACCAGGAAUCAUUAUCUGGAAAAUAAUUAUGAAUGUUGGGGAAAUAAUAUUCUGGGUAUAUAGAUAGUGGAUUGUACUCAGGCUGAGAACAUAUGCUGUUCAUGUGUGUCUUCUAAAAAUAUUUUCACAUGCAAAUUACAUACCCGUUGGCUGCUUGCUUCUAACCAGAUUGUCACUGCAUGGUUGAUGGUUCCUGAGAAAUCAAAUACGGAGUGGGAGGUACCAACUGAAAAUCUUUGCUUUGAACGUUUUGUUUUUCAGGGUUUAUGUUUGCUUGGUGUUCUUUCUUCUUUUUCAGAAACUAACAAAAUUAAAAUUUAAAUGUACAAAGUACCUUUCUGAAAAGGUAAGAAGAAUCCAAUAACUAAUUAACUUUACGUAUACCUCUUUUUUUUUUUCUUGUUUAAUGCUUACAUACAUCAUUAAUGUUAUGUUAACGUUAUAACAGGAAAAUUUACGGUCAUGAUAAUCUCAAUUUUGAUAGUUUUUGUGUAUAUAAAGUCAAGAUUUCAGUGAUUGUAUUCUUCUUGCAUUUCAUAACUAACUUUAAGUCCACAAACUGGAUUAUUUAAUUACUACUAACGUUACUGAUGCUGAUAUGUACUUGCAGUAUCCCUUGGCCAUUGCAUACUAGUAUCUUAACCAAAGAAAAGGAGCUCUUUUUUGAGACGAGGGUUAUAAAAUCACUAGCAAAAACAUGCACUUGGUUCUUUUUUUAACUGCUGACCUAUUUAAAUCCUUUCUUUUUUUUUUUUUCUGGAGUAAAAACCUCUUAUAAGACGUUUUUAUGGCUAUUUUUCUCCUGAACUUUUGAAAAUAAAUGCUGCAUUUACCCUACUAUAUUAUCUGUAGCCUUGACAAAGGAAUAGAAAUCAAUUCGCUGCUCUGAAGUAAAGCUUUUGUUUGUUUGUUUCCCUGACUCUUAAGGGUGGUUCUUAUUUUGUCAUCCUUAACAGGAGCAUCUUCCUGCUCUGUAACAGAGAUGGAAACUGUUAUAAACGGAACACUUUAAGCUUGAUGCAGUGUUCUCUGUAAUCGUGGCAAAGAUUUCCAUUUGGGAAUUGCAGAUGCUCUUCAAACUAUUUUUUCUUACAUUUCAUUCUGUUCUUUGAGUUAUUUUACCUCCCUGUCCUACAGCCUGUAGCUUUCUGACUCCAAUCCAACUGGGAACAAUAGUCAAAACUUAGCAGGUUUUGGAUUUUUAGAAAUGAAUUGCUUUCAGGAAUAUUUCUAGUGGGAAAGCAUCAGUGAUGCAAUGCAACUUCGACAGUGUGAAACCAGGGAUGUUUUUUCUGAUUGUGGUCGCUGUGUUUGUGUCCUUAGGAUUCCUCCAGUACAGUUUGGGUAUGUUCCUGUGGCAUCACAGUGUUACGUUGCAAGUCAGCAUAAAUGUUAGUGCUGAUGGGAGAGAUUGACUUGGAACCAACAUGAGGUGAUAUAACAGCAGCCCAGCAAAAUUCGGGGUUUUUUUGUUUUCUUCAGACUACCUCUAAAUUUCCAAUAAUGGCAAUACAUUCAUUCUGCCAUUUGGAGGAGCCUGUGCCACAGAAUAAUGAUGUGAAGAAAUCUAACUUAUUUGCAAGGAAGAGUCUUCAUUUGUGAACUAGUACUCAUGCAGCAAAGAGGUGCUUUGUUAAGUUCAGCAGAACUAUUAUUGUUCCUAACACAGUCUCCUGUACGUGGACAAAGUUGUUUUUUCUUCAAAAAAUAAACAGAAUGCUGUCUCUGAAGAGUAAAAAGGUCUUUGACAUUCAGUGGGAUGAGAAUCUCAAAACAGACUGACUACUGUGGACUCCCCAGCUACAGUUCAGAUCAGUGUCUUGCCUCGCUUCUCUGAUGUGCAAAUGAAGCUCGUCCAGUAUGUGUUACUCAAGAAAGAAUUAAGAAAAUUGAAGUCAGAAUAUCUGAACUUGGAUCACUUGCAAAUAAGGAAGAUCCGCAUGCACGUGUUCUGUAAAGAUAAUGUUGAACGGAUCCAGAAACUGUUUUGGUAGCUGCAGUUUGCUUGUCUGAAAUCCCUUCAGAAGCUUGAGUGCAAAGCAAGCACAGUACUAGUGAUGGAUGUGAAUGGAUAUCUUAAGGAUAACAGUGGAUAUGGUGUCUUCAGAAACGGUGGCAUUAUGAAGGUGUACUUAUGUUGAUUUGUCUGGCUACAUGCUGAUCUCAGAAGACACAACUCUAUGGUAGUAGGGGGAAGAACAGUAUUGUACUCCUGGAUAACAGCAAGAAUGACAGCCCUGAUGAAUUGGCGGAUCAGACUGAAGACUGUUACGUCCUUCUGAGAUGACACAGGAAAGUUACAGAACAACAGGAAAGCAUCGUUGUCCUGCCGUACAGUCGAGAGAACAGCCACUCAGAAGCAAAGCCAAGGUUGUUAUUUGGGUCCUCCUGCAUUUUAACCUCAUGCCUCCAGCUCCCUUUCUCCCGCAAAAACCCAAAGCCUCCGUUAUAAUCAGAUGCUUCGUAUUUCUGCGCACAAGGCCUAAGGUGUUUCAGUUUGGGCUCCCAAAUGAGGAACACAGCGUCGGUGGCCAUCUGCCAAGGUGUUUGGUCUGACUCCCUCCUUCUUCGCAGAAAGCCUAUGGCAAAGGCAGAGGCAGAACUGAAUGUUCCUGUGUGGCGUUCAACUGCCUUAACCGCAUGCCCAUUGCUCUCUUCCUGCAGUUGUCUGUCUGCUUCUCUGCACAACUUCGAGAGCAAACACAUAUAGGAACCUAUAAAUAAUCUAAUUCGAUGCACAACCCUGAUUCAUUUCCUGAGCAGCGUGUGUCCCGCACACGCAGGGCGGCCGCGGUCCUGUGGAAAACUUGAGCAGAAUGGAUGAGGCCAAGUUAAUACCAUUAAGCAUUUAAACUUUGCAAUGAAAUAUUAUUCUAAUGGAGCUUAUUAUAGCUGUAGCUUGGAGUAUUUUUAACAAGGGAUGAGAAAAAAAAAAAAAAGAACGCUUUUAUUUAUAGUCGUAACUGUUUUCCUGUCUAACAUUUGAAUGUGAAUAUUCAGCUCGGUGAAAUGCAGAGCAUCAACCAGGAGGAGGAGGCGGCUGGUCUCCUUAGGGAGGAAGGGGAGAAAGAGUUCUGGGUCGCAAACACCAUGGGCAGUAACUCUAUUUUGCCCUUGAGUCUCGGGGCCAGGCUGUGGAGAGUUUACCCUAACUUUUGGUUUUCCUUCAGCAUUCCCAGCACAAGAAAUGAUCUCUUCUGGAGUUUCUUGGUGCGAUAUAUGUUGGGGGUGUUUAGUGUGUUGCUAUAAUCCAUCUGUUAAUAGCAUAAAUAAAUUUUUUAAAAAGGUGAUUUUUCUAUCCAUUUUUUUUUGCUAGAAAAUAAGAGAAGGCACUCCUCAACUCCCAGUUUUCUUAAAAAAUAAAUAAAUAAAAUAAAUCCCAGUCGUUCUUAAAAAUAUGUAGCAAAACCUUUUAUAAUAGAAAAUUAUAAAACUGGUCUCAGCUUCCCCCUUUAACCUUCCCAGUCAAACAGCAGUUGUGUUUGUAAACUACCCGAGGUGGGCUGUAGGCUCUGGUGACAGAGCAGGGGUACCGGGAAUCACAAACUAGUCUUUAUCUUUUAUGCUAGAAUUGAUUAGGAUGAUACGAUUUUUUCAUUAUUAUUAUUUUCCCCACAGAAGUCUUGCUGAGCCAUGGGCUAGGUUUCAGUUUUUGUUGAUGUUCUGCCUUACCCGUGGACGAUGCAUGAGAUCUAGUGACUGGGCUAGUGAUUUUCUGUGAGGAAAAUGAAACCCUCAUGCUUGGCUUUUGCAUGUUUUUCUCUGGGUUAUACAGUCUUUACCCACAAGCAAUGCAGCAAAUUUGAAUCUCCUGUAAACAGCACUGUAGUUAAUCCUGAGAUACUCCGGCAGGUGAGAAAAUUUUUUGGUCAAGCCAUUCAUUGAAAUUCAUUAAAAUCAAAACACUUGCAAAAUUAAAUCAGUUCUGCUGGCAUUUUCUUGCAAAGAAAAAAUGAAAACCCUGCUUUUAACACCUCUUUUUAACGGAUCAGUUUGCAAAGUUUCACAUCCGUAGAGAAGUUGGAGCAGGAAGAAUCGGUCUCGGCAGGGCAGGACACCUUAAGCCAGUAUCUCAACGCAGCACUUUGCAUCUUGAAUCCGUAGCCUGAAAAUGCUGCAUGUCCUAUCGGAUAUGUUGUGUCAUUGAUUUAUUAUGUUAUUCCAUCCUAUGUGUUGAUGGUAACCUUUUGGCAGGGAUUGUUUUCCUUUUCUGGUGUUUCUUUUCUUUCUUUCUUUUUCUUUUUUUCCUUUUUCCUUUUUUUUUUUUGACAGCGCCUACUACGAAGGAGCUCUAAUCCAUGACUUGGCUUCCAGGAUUGAAUGCAAACCCUUUGUGAGUGACAGAGUGCCUGGGCCACAGGAAAUAAAUGGGUGGAUGUGAAUAUAUGCCUCCUUUACAGCCAAUUGAUUCCAGACUCACCAGAUGCCUGUGUGGUCAAAGCAUUCUUGAUCUACCCAAUGGCUUUCAUGCAUAUCAUGCUAUCAGCAUCUGAAUUGAAUCCGCACUCCCAGAUCCAUGCUUGUCCAUCAUGGAAACCAUCAUAUUUUCAAGAAAUUGAGCCAGAGACUAUUUAAACUGUCAGUGCUGCGGGUCAGUUUAAUGCAAAUUUCUCUAUGUUUUGUCUUACACAAAUGUGAGAUCACCACAUUCGCCUUCUGUCCAAACUGACUUGCUUUCUGACUUCUAAAAGAGUGCCUUUACUUUGUGGCAGUGAAAGUUGAGGCAUGUUCAAUAAAAGAUCUUUAGUUUUGUUGAAACAAAUUAGUUCAUGGAAACAUGAUAAAUAAGGAAAAUUAAAAUAAUGUACAAGAUUUAAGC
Molecule: long non-coding RNA, 6990 nt
Organism: Cygnus olor (mute swan)
Lineage: Eukaryota; Metazoa; Chordata; Aves; Anseriformes; Anatidae
Exons: 10
Source: RefSeq, a predicted model, not a curated record